RNAcentral lists this ribosomal RNA (253 nucleotides) under uncultured bacterium. RNAcentral describes it as "partial 16S ribosomal RNA". It matches the Rfam family "Bacterial small subunit ribosomal RNA", at positions 524 to 776 of the family's 1533-position model. The record is from RNAcentral.
UACGGGGGGUGCGAGCGUUGUCCGGAAUCACUGGGCGUAAAGGGCGCGUAGGUGGUUUGAUAAGGGUGUGGUGAAAGUCCGGGGCUCAACCCCGGAUCUGCCGUGCCGACUGUCAAACUCGAGGGCUGUAGAGGCAGACGGAAUUCCGGGUGUAGCGGUGGAAUGCGUAGAGAUCCGGAGGAAGACCGGUGGCGAAGGCGGUCUGCUGGGCAGUUUCUGACACUGAUGCGCGACGGCGUGGGGAGCAAACAGG